AAAGAAUGACAGAUUAGAGGACUAGGAAAGUAGCUCUGAGUCACACUACGCCAAUCCUUGAAUGCCCUCCGAAGGAGUGUAGAAUUUUACUUCUUAGGCAAGGGAAAGUUAAAACCAGAGAGGGUAAAAAAUAGAGAACUUUGUAAAAUGGAUUUGACAUUUUAUCUAUAAAAGCUCUUACUUAGGGAAUGACAGGCAAAGAGAUUCAUAAAAAUUCAAGUCCUAGGGAGAUUUUUCUUUGGCAAUUCUUUUUUUUUUCCCCCCAAAUGACUUUAGGAAAGAUAUAUAAAGUAAGUGCCAGAGGCUGAGGUGUUCCUGUCACUUUCUUUUUUUCCAUUCAUGUAGAACAUGAUUUGCCACUGCUUCGAACACAGGAGAGGUUUCACCAAUGGACUGACUGCAAUUCUCUGUGAAGGAGAUUUCCCAGUUUUCCAAUUGUGAUAUGAAUCACAUCUUCCAUCAGCAUCAGUCCUCAGGACACAGUUUUUGAAAAAACGAUGCCAUCUUUGCAAGUAUAACCACUUGCCGGAAAUAUCCAAACCCUCCCACCACUGUUCCACCGGGGAGCAGGACUCAGAUGCUGGGGAGCCUUAGGGAUCAUUCUGGUUACCUUGCAUGGGUAUAAGGUGCACGAUUGCUGGGGCCGUCCAGCUGUAUGCCUGGAAAUGAAAGGGACACACGGAGAGAGGAGCCUGAUCCAGAACUGCAGCAGGAAAUCCAAACUGGAGCCUGUCUCAUCUCUUGAACCUCAGUUAUUUGAAUUGGCACUCUUGCCACUUGUGCCCAGAUCCUCACAGCAGUCCUUACAUACCGUUAGCCCCGUUUUGCAUGUGAGCAAAUCGAGACGGGAGAGAGCUCCAAGAUCACACCGAGGGCUGAUAUCAAAGUCCAUGUCAUCAACCUCUGCUUCACUCUAAACUGGAGAGUCCGCUUCGCUUCUGAGGAACCAUUUCCAUCUGGUUGUCAGUUCUGCUCCCCAAACUGACUGCCCUGUGAUCUGGAUCAAAGCAGACCUCCUGGUCCUUACAUCCUGUCCAUUACAUCUUUUGCGGGCUGCGGAUCUGGCGCAGGUUUCUUUGUGGGCCAAAAGUAAAGAGAAUGUUAGCACUGACACUGUGCUUAGGAAAUUGUGCUCCAGAGGAGGGAGGGGAAUAAGGAAACCGACAUUCAAAGAAAGUACAUAAUAACAGGCACCCACUUCUUUUUUGCUUGCUUGUUUGUUUUUUGUCUUUUUCUAGGGCUGCACUCAUGGCAUUUGGAGGUUCCCAGGCUAGGGGUCCAAUCAGAGCUGU
Non-coding RNA from Sus scrofa (pig), 1292 nucleotides. Lineage: Eukaryota; Metazoa; Chordata; Mammalia; Artiodactyla; Suidae. The record is from RefSeq and is a predicted model, not a curated record.